CAACGCGGGGAGGUAGUGACAAGAAAUAACAACAACUAACCUAUUUCAGGUGAGUUGAUUGGAAUGAGUACAAUCUAAACACCUUAACGACUAUCCAUUGGAGGGCAAGCCUGGUGCCAGCAGCCGCGGUAAUUCCAGCUCCAAUAGCGUAUACUAAUGUUGUUGCAGUUAAAAAGCUCGUAGUCGGAUUUCAGUAGGCUCAGUUAAGUCUCUUCUAUUGAGUUCUUUAUGGGCCUGCUUCUUUGACAGAAACUUCUAUGUUAUUCAUUUAGCGUGGGUAGCGACUGUCUCUUUUACUUUGAGAAAAUUAGAGUGUUCAAAGCAGGUAUUCGCCUGAAUAUUACUCUUGGAAUAAUGCUAUAAGACUUUGGUUCUAAUGUAUUGGUGAUUGGGACCAGAGUAAUGAUUGAUAGGGACGGUUGGGGUCUUACGUACUGCAAAGCGAGAGGUGAAAUUCUUGGACCUUUGUAUGACGAACAACUGCGAAAGCAUUGGACUAGGACGUUCCCGUUGAUCAAGAACGAAAGUUGGGGGAUCGAAGACGAUCAGAUACCGUCGUAGUCUCAACCAUAAACUAUGCCAGCUAGGGAUCGGAGGACGUUACAUGUUCGACUCCUUCGGCACCUUAUGAGAAAUCAAAGCAUUUGGGUUCCGGGGGGAGUAUGGUCGCAAGGCUGAAACUUAAAGGAAUUGACGGGAGGGCACCACCAGGAGUGGAGCCUG
RNAcentral lists this ribosomal RNA (723 nucleotides) under uncultured marine eukaryote. RNAcentral describes it as "SSU rRNA". It matches the Rfam family "Eukaryotic small subunit ribosomal RNA", at positions 452 to 1185 of the family's 1831-position model. The record is from RNAcentral.